Capra hircus (goat) is the source of this 3292-nucleotide long non-coding RNA. RefSeq lists it as uncharacterized. Lineage: Eukaryota; Metazoa; Chordata; Mammalia; Artiodactyla; Bovidae. The transcript is spliced from 4 exons. The record is from RefSeq and is a predicted model, not a curated record.
UCUAGUUAGUAGCAAGGGUACAGUCAAAUUAUAGUCAGCUUUAUAGAACAGAGUCAAAAGAGAUAGACAAAAGCUAUGGAUGGAAGUAAAUAUAAAUUUGGGCUGAAUAUGAGGUCAUGAUCUCAUUUCUCCGUCUCUGCCUUUCUAAGCUCCCUAUACCUGGACUCAGUGGUUCCUUACCUUAGAAACAAACUCACAGCCCUUCUUUCCCUUGACGCCUGCAACAGGCUUUGAAAGAAGACAUUUCUGGACUUAAGUCCUCCUUCUUUCAUUAAUGAUUUGUGUAGUCUUCAGUAAUUUGGGUGUCAAGAUUUCAUUCCUCAGAAACCUGAGAAGAUUAAGAUGGAUUAUCAGAUUAGUUUGAGGAAAGUGAGAGAGCUGGUGGCUAGAAAUUCUAAAAAUAGGAUAUAUUCAGGUACAACCAGCUAUCAGAAUUUCCCAUGAAAAUUCUGUGCUAUGAUCUAUAGAGCUUGUUUCGUCAAGAACCUUUCAGUUGCUACUUUAUUGAUUCAGUCUAUAUGGAGGGAAAAUUUAUUUCAGCCAUAACUGAUUUUUCAAGUAAUUACUCAAUCAUCUGCUUUCUUCUACCUACCCCAGAUAGAGUAUUCUAGAAGCAGAUGCUGAGAUGGAGCUCAGAGUGCAAGCUGUUACCCAUGAGGGAAAGGCAGGGGGAGAAGUGAAACCGUGAGACGGGCUCUGCAAAGCCUUGAUGAACCCACUGAGUUGACUGUGAAGUCUUUCCAAAGAUUAGUCACAAUAGUCAGGCUUUGUAUGCGACCUUGCUCUGUCACUAAUGUGGACUGAGCUGUAAGGGUGUGACCCCAGGUGAGGCAGGUCUCCAGAGCCGAGGCAGACUCUGAAGCAGCUGACAACUUUGGACCAUCUGCUGACCACGCUCCCUGUAACUGGGCAUUUUGUCAUUCCCUGACGAGAAACCUAAGAGGUGUUGAGGGAUUUCUUUGGGGUUCAGAUGUCCUUGGCUGGGAGAAGGGAGAUCGCAUAUCAUUAUGGAGGAACUUGGUGACAGCUGAAGAAUCUAGGAGAAUCCUGGGGCACAGAGAGCGCAAGUGAGGCUUAAACCACUCAGCCUCUGGCCAGUUCUCCCCAUGGAGGAACCUCAAGAUUCCUGGGCCCUCCCAUCUCUGCCCCUGUCUGCUCCUGCACCUCUUCCAGGCACUGGCAACUGGUUGAGCCUGCUAGCAAUUACCCUUGUUUCUCUUUCCCUCUUCUUCCCCUUUCUUCAUUUGACUGCUUCAACCAGUCGUUUCCAUCCCAGCACCAGUUAUUCCCUGACUGGACGUCAAAGAGGCAACCAUCUUGCUCCUUUUUCAUGGAACAAAGCAGACAAACCAUGCGCAUUCUUAGCUCAGCUCAGCUGGUGAAGAAUCUGCCUGCAAUGCAGAAGACCCCAGUUUGAUUCCUGGGUCGGGAAGAUCGCCUGGAGAAGGGAUAGGCUACCCACUUCAGUAUCUUACUGCAUAAUUUACAUGUAUUUUAGACCAUGGAAAUGGUGUUAGACAAAAAGCAAAUUCAAGAGAUUUUCUUAUUUGAGUUCAAAAUGAGUCUUAAAUAAGCAGAGACAACUCAAUAACACAUUUGGCCCAGGAACUGCUAACCAAUGUACAGUGCAGCAGUGAUUCAAGAAGUUUUGCAAACGAAAUGAGAGAUUUGAAGAUGUGGAACACAGUGGCCAUCCAUUGAAAGUUGACAACAACCAAUGAGAGCCAUCAUAGAAACUGAUCCUGUUAUAACUGCACAAGAGUUUGGCAACACAACCGUUCUACGGUCAUUGGGCAUCUGAAGAAAAUUGGAAAGGUGAUAAAGCUCUAUAAGUGGGUGCCUCAUGAGCUGACCUAAAAUCAAAAAUAUCAUUUUUGAAGUGUCAUCUUCUCAUUGUAUACAACAGCAGUAAACCAUUUCUCAAUCUGAUUGUUACAUGCGAUUAAAAGUUGAAUUUAUACAUACAACUACUGGCGAUGACUAGCUCAGUGGUUGGACUGAGAAGCUCCAAACCGUUUCCCAAAUCCAAACCUGCACCAAAAAAGUUCAUGUCCACUGUUUGGUGGUGUGCUGCCAAUCUGAUCCACUGCAGCUUUCUGAAUCCAGGCAAAACCAUUACAUCUGAGAAGUGUGCUCAGCAAAUUGAUAUGAUGCACAAAAAAUUGCAGCACCUGCAGCCAGCAUUGUUCAACAAAGUGGGCCCAAUUCUUCCCCAUGACAAUGCCUGACCGCAAGUCGCACAACCCACACUUCAAAAGUUGAAUGAAUUGGUCUACGAAGUUUUGCCUCAUCCACCGUAUUCACCUGAUCUCUCACCAUUCAGCUACCACUUCUUCAAGCAUCUCGACAACCUUUAGCAGAGAAAAUGCUUCCGUAACCAGCAGGAGGCAGAAAGUGCUUUCCAAGAGUUGAUUGAAAUCCAAAGCAUGGAUAUGUAUGCUACAGGAAUAAACCUAUCUCUGAUUGGCAAAAAUGUGUUGAUUGUAAUGGCUCCUAUUUUAAUUUGUUUGAGCCAAAUUACAAUGAUUUAAAAUUCAUGAUCUGAAACCACAAUUACAUUUGUACCUACCUAAUACCCCCGUCUGUGGGGUCGCACAGAGUCGGACAUGACGGAAGCGGCUUAGCAGCAGCAGCAGCAAUACAUAUAUAUACAUAAUAUCCUAUUGGUUCUGUUUCUCAGGAGAACCCUGACUAAUGAGGAGGGGAUAUAAUUUGUGUCCUUACUUCCUAGAUCUUUCAUUGAAAUGAACUGUAUUCAAGGAGUUGUACCCAAGGAAGUACACUGCUGCUGCUGCUAAGUUGCUUCAGUCGUGUCCGACUCUGUGCGACCCAUAGACGGCAGCCCACCAGGCUCCCCUGUCCCUGGGAAGUACACUAGCUUUUAUUAUUGGACUUUAUCUUGUAAGCCAAUGUGUGACUCUUUGUCUUUUGUCAGAGAUGUCCAAGGACUUUAUUGAUUGAUUCUAGGGGAUAUUGCUUGUUUCUAACAUUUUAAUCAUAAAUGCAGCCUCUGAAUGGCUCACCAACCCUGGGAGGGAAGAUGCUAUAUGUAGUGACUGAGCUCUCAGUGGUCUUCUCAAUGGCAAUUGAAUUCUCUGAUGAGGUCAGCCUUAAGAACAUAUUGACGAAAUGAGAGGGAGCAAUUUGAGACCUCUUUUGACAGGCUGAGGCACUUCUAGUUAAAAAUGUGACCUAAAAAAAGAAAACUUCUUAUUUUGUAACACCAUAAUCUUUCCCCAGUGGCUCAACAGUAAAGAACCCACCUGCAAUGCAGGAGACACAGGUUCUUCCU